RNAcentral lists this ribosomal RNA (419 nucleotides) under uncultured bacterium. RNAcentral describes it as "bacterial SSU rRNA". It matches the Rfam family "Bacterial small subunit ribosomal RNA", at positions 64 to 526 of the family's 1533-position model. The record is from RNAcentral.
GAGCGCUCGUAGCAAUACGAGAGCGGCAGACGGGAGAGUAACACGUGGGAACGUACCCUUCGGUUCGGAAUAACCCGGGGAAACUUGGGCUAAUACCGGAUACGUCCGUAAGGAGAAAGAUUUAUUGCCGAAGGAUCGGCCCGCGCCCGAUUAGCUAGUUGGUGAGGUAAUGGCUCACCAAGGCGACGAUCGGUAGCUGGUCUGAGAGGAUGAUCAGCCUCACUGGGACUGAGACACGGCCCAGACUCCUACGGGAGGCAGCAGUGGGGAAUAUUGGACAAUGGGCGCAAGCCUGAUCCAGCCAUGCCGCGUGGGUGAUGAAGGCCCUAGGGUUGUAAAGCCCUUUCGGCGGGGAAGAUAAUGACGGUACCCGCAGAAGAAGCCCCGGCUAACUUCGUGCCAGCAGCAACGGUCAUAAU